This 516-nucleotide ribosomal RNA is filed under the name uncultured bacterium. RNAcentral describes it as "bacterial SSU rRNA". It matches the Rfam family "Bacterial small subunit ribosomal RNA", at positions 50 to 561 of the family's 1533-position model. The record is from RNAcentral.
AACACAUGCAAGUCGAGCGGAUGAGAAGAGCUUGCUCUUCGAUUCAGCGGCGGACGGGUGAGUAAUGCCUAGGAAUCUGCCUGGUAGUGGGGGACAACGUUUCGAAAGGAACGCUAAUACCGCAUACGUCCUACGGGAGAAAGCAGGGGACCUUCGGGCCUUGCGCUAUCAGAUGAGCCUAGGUCGGAUUAGCUAGUUGGUGGGGUAAUGGCUCACCAAGGCGACGAUCCGUAACUGGUCUGAGAGGAUGAUCAGUCACACUGGAACUGAGACACGGUCCAGACUCCUACGGGAGGCAGCAGUGGGGAAUAUUGGACAAUGGGCGAAAGCCUGAUCCAGCCAUGCCGCGUGUGUGAAGAAGGUCUUCGGAUUGUAAAGCACUUUAAGUUGGGAGGAAGGGCAGUAAGAUAAUACCUUGCUGUUUUGACGUUACCGACAGAAUAAGCACCGGCUAACUCUGUGCCAGCAGCCGCGGUAAUACAGAGGGUGCAAGCGUUAAUCGGAAUUACUGGGCGU